UACGGAGGGUGCGAGCGUUGUCCGGAAUCACUGGGCGUAAAGGGCGCGUAGGCGGCCUGUUAAGUAGGGGGUGAAAUCCUGCGGCUUAACCGCAGAGCUGCCUUCUAAACUGUCAGGCUAGAGCACAGUAGAGGCAGGUGGAAUUCCCGGUGUAGCGGUGGAAUGCGUAGAGAUCGGGAAGAACAUCAGUGGCGAAGGCGGCCUGCUGGGCUGUUGCUGACGCUGAGGCGCGACAGCGUGGGGAGCAAACAGG
RNAcentral lists this ribosomal RNA (253 nucleotides) under uncultured bacterium. RNAcentral's name for it is "partial 16S ribosomal RNA". It matches the Rfam family "Bacterial small subunit ribosomal RNA", at positions 524 to 776 of the family's 1533-position model. The record is from RNAcentral.